RNA transcript from Capra hircus (goat), 772 nucleotides. RefSeq lists it as uncharacterized. Lineage: Eukaryota; Metazoa; Chordata; Mammalia; Artiodactyla; Bovidae. The transcript has 3 exons. The record is from RefSeq and is a predicted model, not a curated record.
GAUACAAACAAAGCACUCAGUAUGUUCCAGGCACCUGUUUAAUCCUUUCUGUUGGGUAGGCAGUACCGUGAUCCUGUUUAAACAGAUUGGGAAAUGGGGACACAGUGUAGGCGACUAGCCCAGGAUCCCGCAGCUAAUCGGGGACAGAGGUGAGAGCUGGAGACGGGCAGUCCAUGCUUUCCACGAUCCUGCUUCUCACGCAGCUAAGUGUUAACCGGGAAGAACUCGGGUGGGACAUGGUGGAGAGACGUUUACUUUUAUUUCAUACUCUUGAGUAUUCAGAACACUAUUUUACCACGUGCAUUAUUACGUUCAUCAUUAAAAAAAGCUAAUUUGAAAUUAUUUUUUUGAGAACUGAGCUUUAGGUACAAGGUGACGGCGUCUCUGGGGACCUCUCGGGAGGUCCUGUGGGCUGCCUGAUGACGAGAGGGAUGGGCGUGGGCUGGCUGAGGACACAGCCCAACUGGCUUGGGAAAGGAGAUACAAGGGGAUAACUGGUUGCUUUCCAUAUAACUCAGGUUGAGCGCAGGCAGCAUUGAAAGCACGGUGGCCGGUCUCUGGCUUUGGUUUUCCCAGUGACUUUUGCUUUGGUGUGCUGAGGCGGACCCCCCCCCACCCCGGGUAUAAAUGGUUAGAGUUUAAUUAUAAACACCUGUUGAUGGAGCCCUACUUUGGCUGAAUAGCGUUUUCUCCCCGGCUUUGGCGGCUCACCCUGGAGUGCUCCCCUCUGCUGCCAGCGUGCCCACCCAGCUGGAGAUUGCCAUGGACGUCA